CCUACGGGAGGCAGCAGUGGGGAAUAUUGCGCAAUGGCCGAAAGGCUGACGCAGCGACGCCGCGUGGGGGAUGAAGCAUUUCGGUGUGUAAACCCCUGUUGCUCGAGACGAACAAGCCUUUUCGAGGGCUCUGACGGUACCGAGUGAGGAAGCACCGGCUAACUCCGUGCCAGCAGCCGCGGUAAUACGGAGGGUGCGAGCGUUGUCCGGAAUCACUGGGCGUAAAGGGCGCGUAGGCGGUCUGCUAAGCGUGUGGUGAAAGCUCGGGGCUCAACCCCGAGUCGGCCAUGCGAACUGGUGGACUCGAGCACUGUAGAGGCAGGUGGAAUUCCGGGUGUAGCGGUGGAAUGCGUAGAGAUCCGGAAGAACACCGGUGGCGAAGGCGGCCUGCUGGGCAGUAGCUGACGCUGAGGCGCGAUAGCGUGGGGAGCAAACAGGAUUAGAUACCCUGGUAGUCCACGCCGUAAACGAUGGGUACUAGGUGCUUGGGGGAGCGACCCCCCGAGUGCCGGCGCUAACGCAUUAAGUACCCCGCCUGGGGAGUACGACCGCAAGGUUGAAACUCAAAGGAAUUGACGG
This 579-nucleotide ribosomal RNA is filed under the name uncultured bacterium. Its description in RNAcentral is "bacterial SSU rRNA". It matches the Rfam family "Bacterial small subunit ribosomal RNA", at positions 338 to 916 of the family's 1533-position model. The record is from RNAcentral.